This 66-nucleotide transfer RNA is filed under the name Maiestas dorsalis. RNAcentral describes it as "tRNA-Leu". Lineage: Eukaryota; Metazoa; Arthropoda; Insecta; Hemiptera; Cicadellidae. The record is from RNAcentral.
AAUGGAUUGGCAGAUUAGUGCAUUAAAUUUAGAAUUUAAUUAUGUAAUUAAAUAUUAUAUUCAUUA